RNAcentral lists this transfer RNA (69 nucleotides) under Ictidomys tridecemlineatus (thirteen-lined ground squirrel). Its description in RNAcentral is "Spermophilus tridecemlineatus (thirteen-lined ground squirrel) tRNA". It matches the Rfam family "tRNA". From Rfam's summary of the family: Transfer RNA (tRNA) molecules are approximately 80 nucleotides in length. The record is from Rfam by way of RNAcentral. Lineage: Eukaryota; Metazoa; Chordata; Mammalia; Rodentia; Sciuridae.
GGGGCUGUAGCUCAGUGGUAGAGCGCUUGCCUUGCAUGCAUGAGGCACUGGGUUCAAUCCUUAGCACCA